GGUGCUUGUGUGUGUUGAGAGCACUAGUUGAAAGAGCACUGCAGCAGGCAGCUGAGUCAUGGUGACAGAGCAGCACACGUUGUGACAACUUUUUACCAGUUGUAGUAGGGAAAACCAAAUCAAGCAAAGGGUUUUACGCAUGCGCAGUUCUUGGGUCUCGAGUGCUGUGCAAGUGGAAAUUUGAAAUGGAAGUUAUGGAAUUCCCUUACGUGCUUCUGUUGUAGGACAACGUGACAUUAAAUGUGGAGAAUGAUAGAAAGAUUUGUAUAUGUUGGCCAUCAAGUAGGCUAUUCAUUUCUAUGCCAUUGUAGGCUACUCUAACCUACCACUUGAUACAAUAAAUACAUUGAAAUUAUGA
Non-coding RNA from Oncorhynchus mykiss (rainbow trout), 358 nucleotides. NCBI's taxonomy places the organism in Eukaryota, Metazoa, Chordata, Actinopteri, Salmoniformes, Salmonidae. The record is from RefSeq and is a predicted model, not a curated record.